This 459-nucleotide ribosomal RNA is filed under the name uncultured bacterium. Its description in RNAcentral is "partial 16S ribosomal RNA". It matches the Rfam family "Bacterial small subunit ribosomal RNA", at positions 338 to 795 of the family's 1533-position model. The record is from RNAcentral.
CCUACGGGUGGCUGCAGUGAGGAAUAUUGGUCAAUGGUCGGGAGACUGAACCAGCCAAGCCGCGUGAGGGAUGAAGGUACAGAGUAUCGUAAACCUCUUUUGUCAGGGAACAAAAGCGGGGACGCGUCCCCGGAUGAGUGUACCUGAAGAAAAAGCAUCGGCUAACACCGUGCCAGCAGCCGCGGUAAUACGGAGGAGGCGCCGGUUCUCCGGUUUUAUUGGGUUUAAGGGGUGCGCAGGCGGUCUGUUAAGUCAGCGGUCAAAGCCCGGGGCUCAACCCCGGCCCGCCGUUGAAACUGGCAGGCUCGAGUUGGAGAGAAGUAUGCGGAAUGCGCGGUGUAGCGGUGAAAUGCAUAGAUAUCGCGCAGAACUCCGAUUGCGAAGGCAGCAUGCCGGCUCCACACUGACGCUGAGGCACGAAAGCGUGGGUAUCGAACAGGAUUAGAUACCCGGGUAGUC